UUUUUUUCCCUCAUUUUUUCCUCCCUUUCUCUUUUAGGUUUUCGUUCAUAUUUGCCUUCUUCGUUUGCAAGCUCGCAAAGACGUAUAGUUAUGGUUGCAUCAAAUCCAAAAUGCUAGGUGUACCAGUAAAGACCAUGACGUCCGACCAUACUUUCAAGUUUGUGAGAAAAUCAGGAUGAGAGAACCAAUAACUCUCAAUUUUGAAAGGAGGUUUUUUCUGUAUAUGUUUGCAGUUGUUAAAACAAUUGGUGAGUGGUCUGACAAAGUUCUUGAUAAUACUGUUUGAGUAAGAAGGGGGAAUUUACCUUCAAAAGGAGGAGAAACCAAGAUUCUAACCAAUCUGCAUAACAAGGCAACAGGUUGCAUAAUGCUCCAAGUGUAUAAACCACCAUUGAGAGGGAGAUCCACCAUAUUAUGUUCUUCCAUGUACUCAUUAAACAAUCUUUUAUUCCUUUUGGAUCCACCGUAUUUCUUUCUCUCCUUCUUUUGCACCACUUAUAUCUUCAUUUGUGCAUUUGAAUUUUUGAGACAAAGUGUUUGGCCCAAGUAAAUCAUCUAUACAUUCUAGCAUUGAAUUAUGCCAUAUUGUAAGUAAACCAUCUGACAUCCCUGGAGAUGGAAUGUCCUUCCAUUUGUAUUGAUCAUUACCCCAAAGUUGUUUCACACACCAGUCAGUCAUUUUCAUCAUAUGUGUCUUUCCUUAUGAGAUUUUUUAAUGCAUUCAUUUUGUCAAUUGCAUCUAACCCUCUCAUAUUCCACAACAACACUUUAACAUCCAUUGAGACCAUCUGAAGCCAAAUUCACAGCAUCUUCAAAAAUUUCUCCCUCUUCCUCUUUAUCUCUGUUAGAUGUCUCAACUGUGUCAUUAAUAUCUUGCACUGUAAUGAUUUCAGUAAUUGGAGGUAGUUUGCUGCUUGCUAUUCCUUCAUUCAAUUUGAGAUGCUUAGCUACAAGAUUUUACUAUUUCAAUGCGAUAGUAGUUCAAUAUGGAGUUACUAAUUCAAACUUAAACAAUAAUAAAUAGUACUCCACUCGUGCAUGUUUUGAA
Long non-coding RNA from Papaver somniferum (opium poppy), 1048 nucleotides. RefSeq lists it as uncharacterized. The transcript has 2 exons. NCBI's taxonomy places the organism in Eukaryota, Viridiplantae, Streptophyta, Magnoliopsida, Ranunculales, Papaveraceae. The record is from RefSeq and is a predicted model, not a curated record.